GCCCCGGUAGCUCAGUGGCGGAGCGGCAGCCUCGUAAGCUGUAGGCCGCGGGUUCAAAUCCCGCUCGGGGCU
This 72-nucleotide transfer RNA is filed under the name Candidatus Bathyarchaeota archaeon. RNAcentral's name for it is "tRNA-Thr". It matches the Rfam family "tRNA". Rfam says of the family: Transfer RNA (tRNA) molecules are approximately 80 nucleotides in length. Their secondary structure includes four short double-helical elements and three loops (D, anti-codon, and T loops). Lineage: Archaea; Thermoproteati; Candidatus Bathyarchaeota. The record is from RNAcentral.